This is a long non-coding RNA of Suricata suricatta (meerkat), 464 nucleotides long. RefSeq lists it as uncharacterized. Lineage: Eukaryota; Metazoa; Chordata; Mammalia; Carnivora; Herpestidae. The transcript has 2 exons. The record is from RefSeq and is a predicted model, not a curated record.
CCAGGACCCGGCCACCCAUGGGGAUGACAGGGCUGCCUUGGUGUGUUCCUGGGGACAGAGCCCUCUGGAGCCAUCUCAAGCAGAGGUGACUCUACCACACUGAAGGUUACAGCUAUGCCCUAGAGCUUUCUCAUGGCCACAUCUACUUUUCAGGGCAAACUGGAUAACUUGUGUGACUUUGUUCAAAGCUGCAACCAGGUGCCACUGAUGUGGUGUCAGCCCAGGUACAAGAGCUCCCCACCCUGCAAGUCUGCUGGCUCCACAUGCCAUCCUCUGAGGCUCCCGGGUGGUUCCCUCAUGAGCCGUGAAUGCUGGAGGGCAUGGGGACACCCCCAUGUUGUUUUACCAGGUAGUAGAUGGAGUCCCUCCAUGUGCCACUGCCUGUGACAACGGGGAGAAGCCUACGUGUUAUAGGUGUCCCCCCCUGGAAUUUAAUAGUUGUGAAGGCUGAUUGUUACAGAGUC